UGGUAUUACUUUUCUUCUAUAUAUAUUAGUUCCAGCUCAUGUAUCUAUAUAUGCAGUAUAAUAUCUACAUUUAUAUCCUUCACAUUUUACUUUAAUUAAAAUAUGUAUUUCUUCAUGACUCACAUACUUUCUUUUAUUAUAUUUAUAGUAUUAAUUCUUUCUCUUUUUAUCUUAAUUGUUAUUGUAUUAACUGUUAUUUCUAAUUCUGAUUCUG
RNAcentral lists this long non-coding RNA (214 nucleotides) under Nicotiana benthamiana. Its description in RNAcentral is "long non-coding RNA (NBEN_LNC001567)". The record is from RNAcentral. Lineage: Eukaryota; Viridiplantae; Streptophyta; Magnoliopsida; Solanales; Solanaceae.